UUGGGCGUUGAUAAAUCAACCGUUUGCAUGCGUCUAAAAGCGAUGGGAAUGAUCCAAAAGCAAGGACAUUGGGUCCCGUACGAGUUGAAGCUGCGCGACGUCGAACGGCGACUUUUUACGUGCGAAUUGCUGAUCGAGCGACAAAAUCGGAAGGGUUUUUUGCAUCGGGUGGUGACUGGCGACGAAAAAUGGAUCCACUACGAUAACCCAAAACGCAAAAAAUCAUGGGGUUUGCCCGGCCACGCAUCAACGUCGACGGCCAAGCAGAAUAUUCACGGCAAGAAAAUCAUGCUCUGCAUUUGGUGGGAUCAGGUCGGCGUCGUAUAUUUUGAGCUGCUCCAACCGGGCGAAACAAUCACGGGGGAUCGUUACCGACUGCAAUUGAUGCGUUUAAGCCGGGCAUUGAAAGAAAAACGGCCGGAAACGGUAAAAAGGCACGACAAGGUUAUUUUGCAACAUGACAACGCUCGGCCGCAUGUUGCUCAACCUGUCAAAAAAUACCUUGGAACGCUUGGCUGGGAAGUGUUACCCCUUCCGCCGUAUAGUCCAGACAUAGCUCCCUCCAAUUAUCAUUUGUUCCGGCAUAUGAGUCUCGAUUUGGCGGACCAGCGGUUCUCCUCGUACGAGGCUACCAAAACAUGGGUUGAGUCAUGGAUAGCCAAGCAGCGGCCAGAAUUUUGGAGAAACGGCAUCCGGAAAUUGCCCGAAAGAUGGGCGAAAGUUGUAGCUAGCGAUGGCCAAUACUUCGAAUAAAAUAUUUUGUACCGUUUUUUCACAAUAAAGCCCCAAAUCUUCGAAAAAAAACCUUUAAAACUAAUUCAACCUCCAAUAAUUUUAGUAAGUUUUCCAAAAUGAUGUCCCACAUUUUAAAACUAAAAACAUUAACACUAAUAGUUAUUAAAUAAUGAACAAAUAAUAAUAUGAUCGAUACGUAUAAUAAAUGAAACGCAUGCCAUAUUUGAAAUGGCAUAUAAUCGCGAUUAAUUAUGUUGAUGAAAGACCGCAUACGAAGAUUUUUCGCACUAGCGCUUAUGGGAAUUUUCUGCUUACCGACGUCCAAGGCAUAUUGACGUAUUGGCAUAUUACAUAUAUACAUAAGUAAUACAGACGAUUGUAUUCACUUUUUUUAGAUAAAGAGGCAUAACUUCAUUUAAUACACCACAUAUUAUUUUUAUUGCCAAAAUAGCAACACAGAAAUACCCUUCAUGCGCAACGAAACUAAUCAGUUAUUCCUAAGCACAUUGACACUACUAAAAAAUAGUACGAUUUAAUUGAUCUUGCGCAGGCGAAGCGGGACGCAAUUAACAAAAAAAAAGCAAACAUAACGGUACUUUUCCUGUUAAAGAAGAUAGUCAUUACAAAAAACUUCUUGGCUAGUUAGAAAUGUGUACUGAGAGAUAAUUUAUGGGAAAAUCGAUAUACUGCUAGCACGUGAAAAGAGCUGGCAAAAAUUACACCUCAUUCAUACAGGGCAAUUUAUAUGUAUUACGCUUCAACAAGUUGGGGACGAGUUGAGAAUCAUAAAUUGGAAAAAAAUUAUUGAAAAUAAAAUAUUAUGGUAAACUCAUGGACAAAGAAAUAUUUGAAUAGUUAUUAUAAGUUUUCGCCAAAACCCAGCGGAAUUUGCUGCAACAAGUAAAGCAAGUUCUAUCUUCAAAAGCAGCAACAACAACUUACAAUAUUAUGUUACUGCUAUUCGAGAAUUUCGACAAAAAUAAGGAAACUAAAUAUAUAGUCAAGUGUGUGGAAAUGAAAAGAAUAUUUGCAAAUAAAACAUUAUGAGAUCUGCUCAUAAAAUCUGUCUACUCAUUAUUAGUGUCAUAGAUUGUUCGUAAAAACCCAGCAGAGCUCAAUAUGAAGAGUUGGUAGCAAAACUAAAAAAGCAUGUGUAUUCUAAGAAAGACAUUUUUCUAGCUCAAUUCAUUAGAAGAACCCAAGAUAACACAAUCCGCGAACAGCUCAUUCUGGCAGAAUAUUUAAGAAAAUUGUUUGGGAAAAACACUAUCUUUAGAAGCAUUCAACAUAUGUACAUAGAUAGCCGUGAACUCAAUGCAAAAUUACAAAGUGCUAUAAAUGAUGUCAACAAAGUACUCGCAGGUAUAAAUCGUAGUAGAAGGCCGCGGAUACAUUCAAUAAUAAUCAAAAUUAAACUUGAGGCAAAUAGGUAUCGGAAACUUAUGCAUACGAAGCGGAAGAGAGAAUCACAAAACAAAGGAAUGUCACGUAAAGCGGCAUAACCUCAUAUGUAAGUCAUGUGGAAAAAAGGGGCAUGUUCUGUUCGACAAGUAUGCCUAAAGUUUAAUGAAUACUUCAAGCAACAAUUACUCAUGUUAUAUGCAUUAAAAACGAUAAUUUCAAGAAUGAUGUUGGUAUUACAUAAUGAAGUAAUGCAUUCAGCUUAGAAUUCCACUGUAUUUAGUGCACUACCCCCAUUUCUGCCGAAAUUACUUUUAGGAAACACUUCAAGUAUUACGAAAAUAUUUUUACGUGAGAAAAUUUUUACAGAAAAUUCGCGCCACGCUGCUGCGUAUGUUUGGAACCAAUAAUGCCAGAAACCGGUGAAGAAGAAACUGUACGUGUCGUAGCGUUAGAUCGCAGUUUUCACUUCGGAUGUUAUAAAUGUGAAGACUGUGGUUUGUUGUUAUCGUCAGAAGCCGAGGGUCGUGGAUGCUAUCCUCUGGACGGACAUGUACUCUGUAAAAGUUGUAAUGCAAAACGUGUGCAAAUGCUAACAAGUCGCAUGGCAACAGAGUUAUAAACAAACUUAUUACUGUGACAUAUUAUGAAUAUUAUGUAUAAUUUCUACACUCGUAUGUAAAAUUAAAAUAAAUAAAAGUUCGUUUGGUUUGCUGACUUUUUAAAACCA
Long non-coding RNA from Anastrepha ludens (Mexican fruit fly), 2866 nucleotides. RefSeq lists it as uncharacterized. The transcript is spliced from 2 exons. The record is from RefSeq and is a predicted model, not a curated record. NCBI's taxonomy places the organism in Eukaryota, Metazoa, Arthropoda, Insecta, Diptera, Tephritidae.